This is a long non-coding RNA of Sinocyclocheilus rhinocerous, 474 nucleotides long. RefSeq lists it as uncharacterized. The record is from RefSeq and is a predicted model, not a curated record. The transcript has 2 exons. NCBI's taxonomy places the organism in Eukaryota, Metazoa, Chordata, Actinopteri, Cypriniformes, Cyprinidae.
AGAGCACCCUGGACACACACCUUAUGCUUUAUCAGCACUUAGAUUCUUUCUCACAAGGUGAGCCCAGAGUGUUGGGACUGGCGAUGAUCCCUGGCCAUCAUGUGGUUUCUAUAGAAGUGGAAUCUGAAAGCCUUCAGAUGACCACCCAUGGACUCUGACAACUUUAGAGGCUUUUGGGGUCACCAUAUGGACUACAGAGAAUGUAGUUUGCACACACACACAUUUUGUCUGCAAAUAUAGAGAUGGCAGUGAAGAUCCACUCUAGCUGGAUUUAUUCACCCCAAAUGGAUUUUUCCUUAUUUUUCAGGGAACUCCAAUUCCAUACACAGUGGUUUGGUCCUCUGUUGAAACAAGAAUAAUAACAACAUGAUGUAAACUGUACCUUUUUGUUUGUGUGUUUGCUUGCAUGUGAGUGGUGCACGUUGUGUGUAAAUACUGACACUUUAAUUUUUCAAUAAGAGACAUCUUUCAUAA